Molecule: ribosomal RNA, 555 nt
Filed under: Salmonella enterica
Lineage: Bacteria; Pseudomonadati; Pseudomonadota; Gammaproteobacteria; Enterobacterales; Enterobacteriaceae
Also listed under: 1 other name
Description: bacterial SSU rRNA
Rfam family: Bacterial small subunit ribosomal RNA
Source: RNAcentral
AACCUUACCUGGUCUUGACAUCCACAGAAGAAUCCAGAGAUGGAUUUGUGCCUUCGGGAACUGUGAGACAGGUGCUGCAUGGCUGUCGUCAGCUCGUGUUGUGAAAUGUUGGGUUAAGUCCCGCAACGAGCGCAACCCUUAUCCUUUGUUGCCAGCGGUUAGGCCGGGAACUCAAAGGAGACUGCCAGUGAUAAACUGGAGGAAGGUGGGGAUGACGUCAAGUCAUCAUGGCCCUUACGACCAGGGCUACACACGUGCUACAAUGGCGCAUACAAAGAGAAGCGACCUCGCGAGAGCAAGCGGACCUCAUAAAGUGCGUCGUAGUCCGGAUUGGAGUCUGCAACUCGACUCCAUGAAGUCGGAAUCGCUAGUAAUCGUGGAUCAGAAUGCCACGGUGAAUACGUUCCCGGGCCUUGUACACACCGCCCGUCACACCAUGGGAGUGGGUUGCAAAAGAAGUAGGUAGCUUAACCUUCGGGAGGGCGCUUACCACUUUGUGAUUCAUGACUGGGGUGAAGUCGUAACAAGGUAACCGUAGGGGAACCUGCGGUUGGA